UACAGAGGGGGCCAGCGUUAUUCGGAAUUAUUGGGCGUAAAGGGCGCGUAGGCGGCCAUGCGUGUCUUCCGUGAAAUCCCUCGGCUCAACCGAGGACGUGCGGAAGAAACUGCAAGGCUCGAGUCCGGAAGAGGGGGGCGGAAUUCCCAGUGUAGCGGUGAAAUGCGUAGAUAUUGGGAGGAACACCAGUGGCGAAGGCGGUCCCCUGGGCCGGAACUGACGCUGAGACGCGAAAGCGUGGGGAGCGAACAGG
RNAcentral lists this ribosomal RNA (253 nucleotides) under uncultured bacterium. RNAcentral describes it as "partial 16S ribosomal RNA". It matches the Rfam family "Bacterial small subunit ribosomal RNA", at positions 524 to 776 of the family's 1533-position model. The record is from RNAcentral.